UGAAAUAGCUCAAUUAGGUAGAGCAACUGAAUCGUAAUCAGUAGGUUGGGGGUUCGAUUCCUCUUUUCAGC
This 71-nucleotide transfer RNA is filed under the name pig gut metagenome. It matches the Rfam family "tRNA". From Rfam's summary of the family: Transfer RNA (tRNA) molecules are approximately 80 nucleotides in length. The record is from RNAcentral.